ACUCUCUUAGGACCGCACCUGGAGAGUUUCUGGUACUCUACCAGUCUCAACUACAGCAGGGAGAGUCAGGCAGAGGCAUACCCAUUCCAUUCCUUGCUUGGGCAAUGGCUAGAGAAUGGAAGGCAAUCUGCUACACGU
Molecule: small nucleolar RNA, 138 nt
Organism: Ornithorhynchus anatinus (platypus)
Lineage: Eukaryota; Metazoa; Chordata; Mammalia; Monotremata; Ornithorhynchidae
Source: RefSeq, a predicted model, not a curated record